RNAcentral lists this ribosomal RNA (342 nucleotides) under uncultured bacterium. Its description in RNAcentral is "bacterial SSU rRNA". It matches the Rfam family "Bacterial small subunit ribosomal RNA", at positions 374 to 710 of the family's 1533-position model. The record is from RNAcentral.
GGGCAACCUGACCGAGCAACGCCGCGUGAGUGAAGAAGGUCUUCGGAUCGUAAAGCUCUGUUAUUAGGGAAGAACAUAUGUGUAAGUAACUGUGCACAUCUUGACGGUACCUAAUCAGAAAGCCACGGCUAACUACGUGCCAGCAGCCGCGGUAAUACGUAGGUGGCAAGCGUUAUCCGGAAUUAUUGGGCGUAAAGCGCGCGUAGGCGGUUUUUUAAGUCUGAUGUGAAAGCCCACGGCUCAACCGUGGAGGGUCAUUGGAAACUGGAAAACUUGAGUGCAGAAGAGGAAAGUGGAAUUCCAUGUGUAGCGGUGAAAUGCGCAGAGAUAUGGAGGAACACC